Molecule: ribosomal RNA, 308 nt
Filed under: uncultured Glomus
Lineage: Eukaryota; Fungi; Glomeromycota; Glomeromycetes; Glomerales; Glomeraceae
Description: partial 18S ribosomal RNA
Source: RNAcentral
CGUAAGGCGCCGAAUGAGUCAUUAAAAAAUUAACAUCAUCCGAUCCCUAGUCGGCAUAGUUUAUGGUUAAGACUACGACGGUAUCUGAUCGUCUUCGAUCCCCUAACUUUCGUUCUUGAUUAAUGAAAACAUCCUUGGCAAAAUGCUUUUCGCAGUAGUUAGUCUUCAAUAAAUCCAAAGAAUUUCACCUCUGACAAUUGAAUACUAAUGCCCCCCAACUAUCCCUAUUAAUCAUUACGUCAAUCCUAAGAAACCAACAAAAUAGGAUCAAACGUCCUAUUUCAUUAUUCCAUGCUAAUGUAUUCAAG